GGAGGGUGCGAGCGUUGUUCGGAAUUACUGGGCGUAAAGCGCGUGUAGGCGGCCUUGCAAGUCAGGCGUGAAAGCCCUCGGCUUAACCGGGGAAGUGCGUCUGAAACUGCUUGGCUUGAGUACGGGAGAGGGAGGCGGAAUUCCCAGUGUAGAGGUGAAAUUCGUAGAUAUUGGGAGGAACACCGGUGGCGAAAGCGGCCUCCUGGACCGAUACUGACGCUGAGACGCGAAAGCGUGGGGAGCAAACAGGAUUAGAUACCCUGGUAGUCCACGCGGUAAACGAUGGGCACUAGGUGUGGGGGGUAUCCACUCCUCCCGUGCCGAAGCUAACGCAUUAAGUGCCCCGCCUGGGUAGUACGGCCGCAAGGUUA
This 371-nucleotide ribosomal RNA is filed under the name uncultured bacterium. RNAcentral's name for it is "bacterial SSU rRNA". It matches the Rfam family "Bacterial small subunit ribosomal RNA", at positions 527 to 896 of the family's 1533-position model. The record is from RNAcentral.